This 58-nucleotide transfer RNA is filed under the name Dipodomys ordii (Ord's kangaroo rat). It matches the Rfam family "tRNA", at positions 8 to 63 of the family's 71-position model. Rfam says of the family: Transfer RNA (tRNA) molecules are approximately 80 nucleotides in length. The record is from Rfam by way of RNAcentral. Lineage: Eukaryota; Metazoa; Chordata; Mammalia; Rodentia; Heteromyidae.
UGGCUCAGUGGUAGAGCAUUUGCCUUGCAUGCAUGAGGCCCUGAGUUCGAUUCCUCAG